CUCCGGAGGCAGCGGCCUCGGAUUCCUCCCGUUCGUUCGUGAUAGUGCCAUUUCCAUCUCCCAAUUUCCGAACGUUUUCUCCAGAGAUCUGACGAAACAAAGCUUCAAAAAGAGAACUCAACAGAAUAUCAACAUAAUUUCGUGGCUGCCUCAAGAUUUUCAAGAUGGUUAAGAAACUGAGGAUCUUUGGUUUGAAUUCUGGUGCGGCCAGUGAAGAGCGAUCCUGCAAGAAAGCUUGCAAAGCAGAGGACCAAGAUCAAUAAAUGUGGCCCAAAAUUGAGCUUUAGGGACAAAUGAGAUGUUUCAAAAGGGAAUUUGAAGUACGCAGAGGCUCGCAGCGCAUUUCGGCUUAGCCGCUGGCUGAGGAGGUUGCAAGUGGGUAGCAAAUGCGU
This is a long non-coding RNA of Benincasa hispida (wax gourd), 392 nucleotides long. RefSeq lists it as uncharacterized. The record is from RefSeq and is a predicted model, not a curated record. Lineage: Eukaryota; Viridiplantae; Streptophyta; Magnoliopsida; Cucurbitales; Cucurbitaceae.